Long non-coding RNA from Meriones unguiculatus (Mongolian gerbil), 891 nucleotides. RefSeq lists it as uncharacterized. The record is from RefSeq and is a predicted model, not a curated record. Lineage: Eukaryota; Metazoa; Chordata; Mammalia; Rodentia; Muridae. The transcript is spliced from 4 exons.
UGUUAUUGUGUUAAGAUCACAGGACAGGGAAGCAAAGAUAAGUGUGUGAGGAGGAUGUAGGAGCCUGUGAGAACUGCAGAGGUAUGGAGGAACGACGAAUGUCUCGGUGAGCUGAGAGGCAGGUAUGGGAGAAGAGGCUGCUUCAGUGCAGUGAGCUUGUCUGUGCAGCAAAGAGGACAAUUUUACUCACAAGAGUCUGAAGAGGAGGAGAUGAGCUCCAAGCACAUUUUGAAUGGCCAUUUUAAGGGCUUAGAGAUCAUGUGAUCAACCCAUACAGAGAAAAUAUACUACCAAAGAAGCAAAGAUGAGAGAAAGGAGAACAGAAGGAGGGAGGCCAAUGACAUCAAGAUCCUGGAAAGAUGCCCAGAAAUCACAUUCAUUUUUGUUACAUUUUCCAAAUUGAGUUACUGUCAUUUUUAAUAAAAAUAAUGCUUAAAAGUAUAAUAGAAAUCUACAUCAAAAGGAAAGAAAAGAACGAGAAAUCAUAAUUAUGUAACUAGACAUUUGUUGACAAAUGUAAAAAGAAAAGGGUACUAAAUACUAAGAAUAAUUAUAGUAACUCGGGAAAGGGUUACCUGUAAAAGUAUGGGUGGGACACAAACUAAUGUGGUUUGAAUGGGAAAUGUCUCCAUAGGCUUCUGUAUUUGAACACUGGUUCCUAGCUGGUGACACUGUUUGUAGAGUUUAUGGGAAGGUGCUGCCUUGCUGGAGAAAUAUGUCUCUGAGUGUGGGUUCUGAGAGAUAUAGCCUUGUCCCCUUUCCAGUACUCUCUCUGUGUUUCAUAUUUAUAGUUGAAAUGAGCUCUCAGCUUCCUGUUCCUGCUACCAUGCCUGCUAUUUGAGUCAAGAUGGAUUAUUUUCCUUCUAGAAUCAUAAGCAAAAUAAAGUCUUU